CGACUCUCGGCAACGGAUAUCUCGGCUCUCGCAUCGAUGAAGAACGUAGCGAAAUGCGAUACUUGGUGUGAAUUGCAGAAUCCCGUGAACCAUCGAGUCUUUGAACGCAAGUUGCGCCUGAGGCCACUCGGCCGAGGGCACGCCUGCCUGGGCGUCAC
RNAcentral lists this ribosomal RNA (158 nucleotides) under Litsea chunii. Its description in RNAcentral is "5.8S ribosomal RNA". It matches the Rfam family "5.8S ribosomal RNA". Rfam says of the family: 5.8S ribosomal RNA (5.8S rRNA) is a component of the large subunit of the eukaryotic ribosome. The record is from RNAcentral. Lineage: Eukaryota; Viridiplantae; Streptophyta; Magnoliopsida; Laurales; Lauraceae.